RNAcentral lists this long non-coding RNA (220 nucleotides) under Helianthus annuus (common sunflower). RNAcentral's name for it is "hypothetical non coding rna". The record is from RNAcentral. Lineage: Eukaryota; Viridiplantae; Streptophyta; Magnoliopsida; Asterales; Asteraceae.
UUUCAUUCUGUUUUAUAUGUCGAUACAAUGUGGUUUAGAUGCCUUUAAGGUGAUGAGAAAGUUAUCGGAAAAUAUGAUGUUGAUUGAUAAAUACUUCCAGACUACAAUUAUCUGAUCAAUGGUUUAUUCGUCUUCUACCUUUUGAUAUUUUUUAAGAAUUUCAAUGGCUAUUAUGAAUUUUAUUUUUUUUAGUUUAUAUGAAACUGUUUGAAGGAAUGAA